Molecule: long non-coding RNA, 516 nt
Organism: Camellia sinensis
Lineage: Eukaryota; Viridiplantae; Streptophyta; Magnoliopsida; Ericales; Theaceae
Source: RefSeq, a predicted model, not a curated record
GUGGAGGUAGUUGAGGAAAAAGUGGAGGGGAGGGUAGUUGAGGGCAUGGCAAGUGCACAACUAGUGUUUGCAGCCACUGAUAAUAUACCCACUUCUAUUGCUUAACCAAUUGCAAAGCUAGAGAGAGAGCUUUACAAUUCCAUACUCAUUUCAGAGAUUGCUUCUUUACAACUAGAGUGAAAAUGGUUGGUCAUCAUGUCACCUUGAAAGGUCCAGGGGUGAUCAAGGAGAUUUGUUUGGGGAUUAUACUCAGUCUGUCUAUUGCCAGCGUGUGGAAGAAGAAACAAUGGGACAUGAAGAAAAGAACCACGGGAUUCUAUGACUCGCUCAAUAAAGGUGAGAUUAGUUUAGUUCCCGAAGAGUAGCUAUUCUUGUGCCCUUCCUCAUUUUAUCGAUACUUUUGUUAAUAGUUUUUCAGUAAGUAUGAAUAUGUAAACCAAACAUAGAAUUGGACCUAGAAACACAUGAAUGAACCUGAUUUUUACAAAAUUAGUUGACGGUCUCGCUUCUAAAAAA